RNAcentral lists this transfer RNA (74 nucleotides) under Candidatus Altarchaeales archaeon WOR_SM1_86-2. RNAcentral's name for it is "Candidatus Altiarchaeales archaeon WOR_SM1_86-2 tRNA-Phe". It matches the Rfam family "tRNA". From Rfam's summary of the family: Transfer RNA (tRNA) molecules are approximately 80 nucleotides in length. Their secondary structure includes four short double-helical elements and three loops (D, anti-codon, and T loops). The record is from RNAcentral. Lineage: Archaea; Nanobdellati; Candidatus Altarchaeota; Candidatus Altarchaeia; Candidatus Altarchaeales.
GCCGCGAUAGCUCAGCCUGGGAGAGCACAUGGCUGAAGACCAUGGUGUCCGGGGCUCAAAUCCCCGUCGCGGCA